This 468-nucleotide ribosomal RNA is filed under the name uncultured bacterium. Its description in RNAcentral is "partial 16S ribosomal RNA". It matches the Rfam family "Bacterial small subunit ribosomal RNA", at positions 28 to 507 of the family's 1533-position model. The record is from RNAcentral.
GACGAACGCUGGCGGCGUGCUUAACACAUGCAAGUCGAACGGAAAGGCCCUGCUUUUGUGGUGUGCUCGAGUGGCGAAAGGGUGAGUAACACGUGAGUAACCUGCCCUUGACUUUGGUAUAACUUCAGGAAACUGGGGCUAAUACCGGAUCGGAGCUCCUGCUGCAUGGUGGGGGUUGGAAAGUUUCGGCGGUUGGGGAUGGACUCGCGGCUUAUCAGCUUGUUGGUGGGGUAGUGGCUUACCAAGGCUUUGACGGGUAGCCGGCCUGAGAGGGGGACCGGCCACAUUGGGACUGAGAUGCGGCCCAGACUCCUACGGGAGGCAGCAGUGGGGAAUAUUGCACAAUGGGAGGAAGCCUGAUGCAGCAACGCCGCGUGCGGGAAGACGGCCUGCGGGUUGUAAACCGCUUUCGCCUGUGACGAAGCGUGAGUGACGGUAAUGGGUAAAGAAGCACCGGCUAACUACGUG